UACGUAGGUGGCAAGCGUUGUCCGGAUUUACUGGGCGUAAAGAGCGCGCAGGCGGUCGUUCAAGUCGCGUGUGAAAGCCCCCGGCUCAACUGGGGAGGGUCACGCGAUACUGAUCGACUGGAAAGCAGGAGAGGGUAGUGGAAUUCCCGGUGUAGUGGUGAAAUGCGUAGAUAUCGGGAGGAACACCAGUGGCGAAGGCGACUACCUGGCCUGUUCUUGACGCUGAGGCGCGAAAGCUAGGGGAGCAAACGGG
This 253-nucleotide ribosomal RNA is filed under the name uncultured bacterium. RNAcentral's name for it is "partial 16S ribosomal RNA". It matches the Rfam family "Bacterial small subunit ribosomal RNA", at positions 524 to 776 of the family's 1533-position model. The record is from RNAcentral.